UACGGGGGGGGCAAGCGUUGUUCGGAAUUACUGGGCGUAAAGGGUUUGUAGGUGGCCAACUUAGUCAGACGUGAAAUCCCUCAGCUUAACUGGGGAACUGCGUCUGAUACUGGAUGGCUUGAGUGCAGGAGAGGAACGCGGAAUUCCAGGUGUAGCGGUGAAAUGCGUAGAUAUCUGGAGGAACACCGGUGGCGAAGGCGGCGUUCUGGACUGCAACUGACACUGAGGAACGAAAGCCAGGGGAGCAAACGGG
This 253-nucleotide ribosomal RNA is filed under the name uncultured bacterium. RNAcentral's name for it is "partial 16S ribosomal RNA". It matches the Rfam family "Bacterial small subunit ribosomal RNA", at positions 524 to 776 of the family's 1533-position model. The record is from RNAcentral.